GAUGUCAAUCAAACUUUGUCCCCAAAUAAAAUCUCUUGGUAGAGAUUUCCAACAAAAUAUCAUGAGAUUCUUAUAAAAAAUAUGAAGAGAUUUUUUAAUAAUAUAUUGUCCAAGAUAUGGCAACAUUACAAAGUGAAAUGAAAUAUGAUUAUUGAGGCAGUAGUAUAACAUCGUAUUUUGCCAGAUGUUGUGAGUAGCUAUAUUCUAAUUCUCUCCUUGGUCAUAUCAGUAUCACAAGCUUGCAGACCUGGGCUGAAGUAACAUUAUUUGAAGAUACGGGUUCAACAAAAUUCAGUAGCUUAAGCUUAAAGCUUGUUAUAUUAAGAAAUUUUGUUAACAUAUAUAAUUAAUGUAUCUCAAAUCCACUAAGAGAAAAAGGCUUGCCAUUCAGUAUUCAUCAUGAAUCACCCAAUUAUUGGAUAAGCAUUCUCUUUGAUCCUCAAUCGUAUCUAUUCUAUCAAACUGUGAGUUUUGGGUAAUACUUUACCGAAAAAUGAUGUGUUUGAUAUUUAAGAAAAU
Molecule: long non-coding RNA, 519 nt
Filed under: Capsicum annuum
Lineage: Eukaryota; Viridiplantae; Streptophyta; Magnoliopsida; Solanales; Solanaceae
Description: long non-coding RNA (CANN_LNC022309)
Source: RNAcentral